RNAcentral lists this unclassified non-coding RNA (234 nucleotides) under Hevea brasiliensis (rubber tree). The record is from RNAcentral. Lineage: Eukaryota; Viridiplantae; Streptophyta; Magnoliopsida; Malpighiales; Euphorbiaceae.
UUCAUGGCUUUAUAGUGAAUCCUGUAAAUAAGGAUUAUAUUCUCAGAUCCUGGUAACAUAUCAUAUCCUGAGGUUUUUAUAUCUAAGGAUAAGGCUUUCAUCACAUGUGGGUCUCUUACUGAGAUUGUAAAAUUGGGAUAGCACGAAAAAUAAAUUGGGCCAUCACAGAGAGAUGAUUCAACUAUUCCUAAUAAGGAAUCAUUAAAGUUAUUGUGUCUUUUAUCUCUGACACAG